UUAAGUCUGGGGGAUACCAUCUGGAAAACAGAUGCUAAUACCGGAUAAAAGCUACUUUCGCAUGAAAGAAGUUUAAAGGCGGGCGUAAAGCUGUCGCUAAAGGGAUGGGACCUGCGAUGCAUUAGCUAGUUGGUAAGGUAACGGGCUUACCGAAGGCGAUGAUGCAUAGCCCGAGUUGAGAGACUGAUCGGGCCACAUUGGGGACUGAGACACGGGACCCAAAACUCCGUACGGGGAGGCAGCAGUAGGGAAUCUUCCACAAUGGACGAAAGUCUGAUGGAGCAACGCCGCGUGAGUGAAGAAGGUUUUCGGAUCGUAAAAGCUCUGUUGUUGGUGAAGAAGGAUAGAGGUAGUAACUGGCCUUUAUUUGACGGUAAUCAACCAGAAGUCACGGCUAACUACGUGCCAGCAGCCGCGGUAAU
This 422-nucleotide ribosomal RNA is filed under the name uncultured Lactobacillus sp. RNAcentral's name for it is "bacterial SSU rRNA". It matches the Rfam family "Bacterial small subunit ribosomal RNA", at positions 132 to 524 of the family's 1533-position model. Lineage: Bacteria; Bacillati; Bacillota; Bacilli; Lactobacillales; Lactobacillaceae. The record is from RNAcentral.